UACGGAGGUUGCAAGCGUUAUCCGGAUUCACUGGGUUUAAAGGGUGCGUAGGCGGACUUAUAAGUCAGUGGUGAAAGCCCGGGGCUCAACUCCGGAACUGCCGUUGAUACUGCAAGUCUCGAGUACAGUUGAGGUGGGCGGAAUACAUCAUGUAGAGGUGAAAUUCUUAGAUAUGAUGUAGAACACCGAUUGCGAAGGCAGCUCACUAAAGUGUAACUGACGCUGAGGCACGAAAGCGUGGGUAUCAAACAGG
RNAcentral lists this ribosomal RNA (253 nucleotides) under uncultured bacterium. Its description in RNAcentral is "partial 16S ribosomal RNA". It matches the Rfam family "Bacterial small subunit ribosomal RNA", at positions 524 to 776 of the family's 1533-position model. The record is from RNAcentral.